CAGGUCUGUGAUGCCCUUAGACGUUCUGGGCCGCACGCGCGCUACACUGACGGAGCCAGCAAGUACAACCUUGGUCGAGAGGCCCGGGUAAUCUCGUGAAACUCCGUCGUGCUGGGGAUAGAGCAUUGUAAUUUUUGCUCUUCAACGAGGAAUUCCUAGUAAGCGCAAGUCAUCAGCUUGCGUUGAUUACGUCC
This 194-nucleotide ribosomal RNA is filed under the name Staphylococcus saccharolyticus. Its description in RNAcentral is "partial 16S ribosomal RNA". It matches the Rfam family "Eukaryotic small subunit ribosomal RNA", at positions 1457 to 1652 of the family's 1831-position model. The record is from RNAcentral. Lineage: Bacteria; Bacillati; Bacillota; Bacilli; Caryophanales; Staphylococcaceae.